UGUGGAAUAUUGCACAAUGGGCGAAAGCUUGAUGCAGCGACGCCGCGUGGAGGAUGAAGGUCUUCGGAUUGUAAACUCCUGUUAAGUGGGAAGAAAGACUCAUACCUAAUACGUAUGGGGGAUGACGGUACCACUAGAGAAAGCACCGGCAAACUUCGUGCCAGCAGCCGCGGUAAUACGAAGGGUGCUAGCGUUAUUCGGAAUGACUGGGUGUAAAGAGCUUGAAGGCGGUUUGGUAAGUCAGCUGUUAAAUUACCCAGCUUAACUGGGUGUCUGCGGUUGAAACUGCCAGGCUAGAGUACAGGAGAGAAGAGUGGAAUUCUCGGAGUAGCGGUAAAAUGCGUAGAUCUCGAGAGGAACACCGGUUGCGAAGGCGGCUCUUUGGCCUGAUACUGACGCUAUAGAGCGAAAGCGUGGGGAGCAAACAGGAUUAGAUACCCUGGUAGUCCACGCUGUAAACGAUGAUCACUGGAUGUGGGUUUGGC
This 485-nucleotide ribosomal RNA is filed under the name uncultured bacterium. RNAcentral describes it as "bacterial SSU rRNA". It matches the Rfam family "Bacterial small subunit ribosomal RNA", at positions 355 to 832 of the family's 1533-position model. The record is from RNAcentral.